GCCGGGGUAGCUCAGUCGGUAGAGCAGCGGACUGAAAAUCCGCGUGUCCCUGGUUCGAUUCCGGGCCCCGGCACCU
This 76-nucleotide transfer RNA is filed under the name Thermodesulfobacterium commune DSM 2178. RNAcentral describes it as "tRNA-Phe". It matches the Rfam family "tRNA". From Rfam's summary of the family: Transfer RNA (tRNA) molecules are approximately 80 nucleotides in length. Their secondary structure includes four short double-helical elements and three loops (D, anti-codon, and T loops). Further hydrogen bonds mediate the characteristic L-shaped molecular structure. tRNAs have two regions of fundamental functional importance: the anti-codon, which is responsible for specific mRNA codon recognition, and the 3' end, to which the tRNAs corresponding amino acid is attached (by aminoacyl-tRNA synthetases). tRNAs cope with the degeneracy of the genetic code in two manners: having more than one tRNA (with a specific anti-codon) for a particular amino acid; and 'wobble' base-pairing, i.e. permitting non-standard base-pairing at the 3rd anti-codon position. RNAcentral also lists the same sequence under 5 other names. The record is from RNAcentral. Lineage: Bacteria; Pseudomonadati; Thermodesulfobacteriota; Thermodesulfobacteria; Thermodesulfobacteriales; Thermodesulfobacteriaceae.